This 494-nucleotide ribosomal RNA is filed under the name uncultured bacterium. RNAcentral describes it as "bacterial SSU rRNA". It matches the Rfam family "Bacterial small subunit ribosomal RNA", at positions 29 to 518 of the family's 1533-position model. The record is from RNAcentral.
AUGAACGCUAGCGACAGGCCUAACACAUGCAAGUCGAGGGGCAGCACAAGGAGCAAUCUGAGGUGGCGACCGGCGCACGGGUGAGUAACACGUAUGCAACCUGCCUGUAAGCGGGGAAUAACCCGUUGAAAGACGGACUAAUACCGCAUAAUACUAAAUUACUGCAUGGUAAUUUAUUUAAACAUUUAUGGCUUACAGAUGGGCAUGCGCAUGAUUAGCUAGUUGGAGAGGUAACGGCUCCCCAGGCAACGAUCAUUAGGGGUUCUGAGAGGAAGGUCCCCCACACUGGUACUGAGACACGGACCAGACUCCUACGGGAGGCAGCAGUGAGGAAUAUUGGUCAAUGGACGAGAGUCUGAACCAGCCAAGUCGCGUGCAGGAAGAAUGUCCCUAUGGAUUGUAAACUGCUUUUGCAGGGGAAUAAAGUGCAUCACGUGUGAUGUUUUGUAUGUACUCUGCGAAUAAGGAUCGGCUAACUCCGUGCCAGCCGCCGC